CCAGACUCCUACGGGAGGCAGCAGUGAGGAAUAUUGGUCAAUGGGCGCAAGCCUGAACCAGCCAAGUCGCGUGAGGGAAGACGGCCCUACGGGUUGUAAACCUCUUUUGCCGGGGAGCAAGCCUGAGCACGUGUGCCCAGGCGGAGAGUACCCGGAGAAAAAGCAUCGGCUAACUCCGUGCCAGCAGCCGCGGUAAUACGGAGGAUCCGAGCGUUAUCCGGAUUUAUUGGGUUUAAAGGGAGCGUAGGUGGAUUGUUAAGUCAGUUGUGAAAGUUUGCGGCUCAACCGUAAAAUUGCAGUUGAAACUGGCAGUCUUGAGUACAGUAGAGGUGGGCGGAAUUCGUGGUGUAGCGGUGAAAUGCUUAGAUAUCACGAAGAACUCCGAUUGCGAAGGCAGCAUACCGGCGCUCAACUGACGCUCAUGCACGAAAGUGUGGGUAUCGAACAGGAUUAGAUACCCCGGUA
This 465-nucleotide ribosomal RNA is filed under the name uncultured bacterium. RNAcentral describes it as "bacterial SSU rRNA". It matches the Rfam family "Bacterial small subunit ribosomal RNA", at positions 331 to 792 of the family's 1533-position model. The record is from RNAcentral.